GCCAGCACCCCAAAUCAAGACUUUUUUAUUUUCCGUGGCGGGAAAUCGAGCUUUUCCAGGUAUCUACAGCCUGUAGAAAUUCAACGCUGAGAAUUUCCAACUAUUGUCCGGCUUUGGCCCUCUGCCACCGACCUAUCCUUUGAAGGAGAGUGCUGAAACCAGUUGGUUGCUCUUCAGUAGUUCUUUCUCUAUCGUACACAUAUUUUUGUAUGUCGACACAUGCUGUGUGCGACGACGUAGACACUUCUCAACACUUGAGUGACUUGAAUUUGGCCAUGAUGACCGAAUGUCAUUGGACCGUGGAGUCGAGUAGAGGGCUCAGGCUCGAUCGGCACAACGGUUCAUUGCAGGUUGAACGAGGAAUGAACGUCUACUCUUUCUUUCCAAAACUGGCUGGGCACACGCCAAUGAGACGGAAGCUAGUGCCAAACCAGUCCUUGGAAGUUUUGUUGUGCUGCUGGACUUUCAAUCAUCAUGUAAAGUAUAUUCCGGUUUCUGAGUCUUCGUGUGCGCCUGAAGAGCUACACUGUGUAGAGAUGUUGGAAGUUUAUCCUGCUCACGACACUGCACCAAGUACAAGCACUUCCUCGGCACUGCCUGAGCCCUGUUCUGUGUUAACUGUGACCAGGAGAAGCAACUAGAAAUUUGGAGCUUGAGCUGGAACGCUGGUGCUCUCUCUCUGUCUCUCUCUCUCUCUCUCUCUCUCUCUCUCUCUCUCUCUCUCUCUCUCUCUCUCUCUCUCUCUCUCUCUCUCUCUCUCUCUCUCUCUCUCUCUCUCUCUCUCUCUCCGUCACGUUCUGCCACUGUCCGAAACCGGUGCAUGUGCAAGCAUGUCGAAGCGCAUUGUGUCUGAGUCACUCACUCACUCUCCUGCUCCUCCCUCAUAUGCCCAAGACAGUAUGACCAACUGUGAAUACAGUUCAUGCCCACAUGUGAACUUGUGUGGUUCUCUUGUAGUAAGCUGCCACGCGUGUACUUGCACGUUUUGUGUACAUGUGUGUGUGUGCGUGUGUGUGUAUCUAUGGGACUGCGUUCUCCUAUUCUCUCUCCGGUGCCUUCGAGGCCCACGCAACCCUUGUGGCAGUGGCUCGACAGCACAGGGCCUAGGGCAGGAGUGUGCGCGCGUGCAUGUGUAUAUGUGGGUGUGUGUGCGCGCGCGCUUGUGCAUGCGCAUGUGUGGGUGUGCGCGCGAGCAUGCAGAUGUGUGUGUGUGGGUGUGUGCGCACGCUGAUGCUCAGCUCUCCAGAAUGAUGUCCGUGUGCGUAGCCAGUGUAUGGUGGCAACAUAGCCUUCCUUCAUGUAUAUGUGUAUGCGCAUACUAUUUGGGAUGCAUUACUGUUUUUGGUGGGAUCCAGUUACAUAGUUUUCUGGUCAAUUAUUUAUGUUUAUACAGCUGCUGUA
Molecule: long non-coding RNA, 1401 nt
Organism: Sycon ciliatum
Lineage: Eukaryota; Metazoa; Porifera; Calcarea; Leucosolenida; Sycettidae
Exons: 2
Source: RefSeq, a predicted model, not a curated record